GGGUCAGUAGGUUGGUCGUGCCACCGGUACGUACUGGUCUCACUGAUUCCUCCUUCCUGAAGAACCGUAAUGCCAUUAAUUUGGUGUUGCGGGGAAACAGGACUGUCACUUUGAAAAAAUUAGAGUAUUUAAAGCAAGCUAACGCUUGAAUACAUUAGCAUGGAAUAAUGAAAUAGGACGAUCGAUCCUAUUUUGUUGGUUUCUAGGAUUGACGUA
This 216-nucleotide ribosomal RNA is filed under the name Glomeromycotina sp. Its description in RNAcentral is "partial small subunit ribosomal RNA". The stretch from base 40 to 216 matches the Rfam family "Eukaryotic small subunit ribosomal RNA", at positions 686 to 864 of the family's 1831-position model. Lineage: Eukaryota; Fungi; Glomeromycota. The record is from RNAcentral.